UACGGAGGGCGCAAGCGUUGUUCGGAAUCACUGGGCGUAAAGCGCGUGUAGGCGGCUUGGCAAGUCGGAUGUGAAAUCCCGAGGCUCAACCUCGGAACUGCACUCGAAACUGCCUGGCUCGAGUCCCGGAGAGGGUGGCGGAAUUCCCGGUGUAGGGGUGAAAUCCGUAGAGAUCGGGAGGAACACCAGUGGCGAAGGCGGCCACCUGGACGGUGACUGACGAUGAGACGCGAAAGAGUGGGGAGCAAACAGG
This 253-nucleotide ribosomal RNA is filed under the name uncultured bacterium. RNAcentral's name for it is "partial 16S ribosomal RNA". It matches the Rfam family "Bacterial small subunit ribosomal RNA", at positions 524 to 776 of the family's 1533-position model. The record is from RNAcentral.